Molecule: long non-coding RNA, 271 nt
Filed under: Phoenix dactylifera (date palm)
Lineage: Eukaryota; Viridiplantae; Streptophyta; Magnoliopsida; Arecales; Arecaceae
Description: long non-coding RNA (PDAC_LNC022295)
Source: RNAcentral
UAGGUGUCACUGGUGGAUUGUGAGACUCAAAGACAUUCACUUGGUGAUCAGUGAACCCGAAUGAGAAGAGUUGGAAUUGUUCCAACCCAUUGAAAGGAGUUUUCAAUGAUAUUAUGAUAGAGAUCGCAAUAUAUCUCACUACCAGACAGAAUAGAACCUAUGGGGUCACACACAUUAGAGGUAUUGACUGAUCCGAUGGUUGAAUUGUGAUUAGGAAUCACAAAUAAUUUAUAAUUAUCAAUUUGAUUGAUAACUAGCAAGUUGAAGAAGG